CGACCUUUGCAACACUCUGGCCCUUACCGUCUUUUCCCGCCUUCGGGCCUGGAAUUGUCAUAUCACAACGUGGUAUAGGCUUAUUUUAAGCAAAGAAGAGCAAAUCGACCUGCUACUCACCGCGGUAUCUUCGAGGGGAGCUUCGUGCUUCUUUCUGUGGAUACAGUGGUCCAUUUAACGGUCAAAAU
Molecule: small nucleolar RNA, 188 nt
Filed under: Aspergillus niger CBS 513.88
Lineage: Eukaryota; Fungi; Ascomycota; Eurotiomycetes; Eurotiales; Aspergillaceae
Description: Small nucleolar RNA snR80
Rfam family: Small nucleolar RNA snR80
Source: Rfam by way of RNAcentral